ACCCCGCACAAGCGGUGGAUCAUGUUGUUUAAUUCGAUGAUACGCGAAGAACCUUACCAGGUCUUGACAUCCCCCGCGAUGCUUUAGAGAUAAAGCGGAGGUAUUCGGGGAGACAGGUGGUGCAUGGUUGUCGUCAGCUCGUGUCGCGAGAUGUGGGUUAAGUCCCGCAACGAGCGCAACCCCUAUUGCUAGUUACCAUCAUUAAGUUGGGGACUCUAGCGAGACUGCCAGUGAUAAACUGGAGGAAGGUGGGGAUGACGUCAAAUCAUCAUGCCCCUUAUGACCUGGGCUACAAACGUGAUACAAUGGCUGGAACAAAGGGAUGCGAAGCAGUGAUGUGGAGCGAAACCCAUAAAAACAGUCUCAGUUCGGAUUGAAGUCUGCAACUCGACUUCAUGAAGUCGGAAUCGCUAGUAAUCGCGGAUCAGAACGCCGCGGUGAAUACGUUCUCGGGGUUU
This 458-nucleotide ribosomal RNA is filed under the name uncultured Acholeplasma sp. Its description in RNAcentral is "bacterial SSU rRNA". It matches the Rfam family "Bacterial small subunit ribosomal RNA", at positions 918 to 1382 of the family's 1533-position model. Lineage: Bacteria; Bacillati; Mycoplasmatota; Mollicutes; Acholeplasmatales; Acholeplasmataceae. The record is from RNAcentral.